UGAUGUCAUUCAGAACUGUAAAAGGAAAAAUGCCAUAGUCUACCGCACCACCUUUACUGAUGUGCUGCCAGAAGCUAUGAAGCUCAUCAGUGCCACAAAGGAUUCUAAGGUGAACAAGGCAGUGGUGAGGAUACUGUCCAUUUGGGAGGAGAGAAGUGUCUAUUCAGAGGAGUUCAUCAGUCAGCUGAGGAAUGGUUUGGUUCAGAAAGAAGAACCAGUGAAAGUUUCAGCUCCAGUCAGCUCCAAAUCUGCCCUGAAAUCCAAGAUUGUUGCUGAGUUUGUGCCCUCAGCAUUUAUUGAGCAUCUGUCCAAGUACAGGAAGUCCAUGGAUGAGAUUGAGCUCAAAGAGAAACAGUUAGCUGCAAUGAGAGUGGAUGUGUGCAGCACAGAGGCUCUGAAGAAACUGAAAGACAAGGCAGGAGGUAAAAGGUUUUCUAAAGACUUUGAAGAUGGGAGUGCAAAGCUUCAGGAGUUUGUUUCCUUUCUGGAUGGAGAGGUCAAAAAAGGCUCUCCAUUGAUAGAAGCUCUGGAAAAUGCAGAUAUAUUUUAUGAGAUGCAAUAUAAAGAGGUCAAGAUUGUGGCUAAAGCCUACCAGACAUUUGCAAACCGGGUGUCGCACCUUAAGCGCAAGCUUGAUGCACUGAAGAAUAUGUUGCCUGAUCCAGAUGACUCCCCCAUUCCCUCCCCGGUUGAAGAUGCUCCCUCACCCACGGGCUCUGAGUCACCCUUCAAUGCUCUUGAAAGGAUUGGUACCCCAGACCCAGAGCUGGAUGGGCAAGCAAUGGAGGAGGACCUCAUUGCUUUGGCUGAUGCUCCCAGCCCUCUCUCAUCUGUCGGGGGUUCCUCACCACCAAGUGCCCCUUUGGGAGACAAAGACAAUCGUGACGUAGAGGACAUGGACCUCUCGGAUGUAGAGGAGAUGGAAACACCUGCCAUCAUAGUUCAGGAACAUGUGGCCUCUGCUGUUGUGUCCAAACAGUCCACUGUCACAGAAUCCUUACCAACAAAUGAAGGCACACAAACAAAGCAGAUCGCAACCCCAGCAGUGACCGUUCCCUCAGCAGUAACAACAACAACAACCACCACCACACCAACCACACCAUCACUGCCAGUGAACCUUGCUGGUGUUGACCUAGGCAAGAUCAGCUCCAUCCUCAGCACAAUCACAAAUGUUAUGAAGAACUCAGCUGUUGGAGUUAGUCCUGUAUCUCGGUCUUCCCCAAGUGUACCUUCUACUCCAAGCUCAACUCAAAAGACUCCCACUCCCACUACUACCCCUCCAGCCAACCCACUGGCCAGCAUCCUUUCUAGGGUGGACAUCAACCCCAACACUCUGCUCAGUGUUCUAUCCAAAACACAAACCCAUGGGGGUUUUCAGGGUCUGUCCUCUUUGCUAAACAACCCGGCUGCAAAGACCACCACAAUUUCAAAUUCUGAAAAGCAAUCCCUAACCACACCUAUUACAGCAGAGACUCAUACAUCUCCUAAAGUCUUACCUACUCCAUCUAGUCUCCCACUGGCUAGGGAUCCCACCUCUCAAGGAUGUGUGGCUCCUACGCCCAUGCAGUCCAAUAUGGCGAAUGAGAAGGGCUCUUCUCUCAACUCUAACUUGGACUCCAAGAUUGAUAACUUCCUCCAAGGUCACCCAGGACUGAAAGGCUUUAAUUUGGGCUUUCCAUCUGUUCUGACAUGGCCUAAAGGAGCUGUUGAUAGCCCUUCAGCAAGUGCAGAAAACCUUGGUGGAACCCCUGUAAGGGAUGAAGCUGGUUCUACACCAACGCAAGAUGAAAUUAUGGAUGUUCCUCAAUCAGAGCUGUUCCCGUAUCAGCAGGGACAAAUUAUGUCUAUUUCUACAGCUUUGGAUGCUAAAUCAACACGUCCACUUCCAUCUUGGCAGGAACAAAAUGCUCAGGCCAAUCCACAAGCUCAUAUGGACAUGCACCAGAAGACUGCACCAAAAAAAGACUUCCAAAAGUCUGUGCCCUCUCUUGCUGAGGCAGAAGCUAUGCGGCAUCAACGCAUCGAAGCAAUGCGUUCCUCUUCUUUGUCCAGCAACCAGCAACCUUUGAGAGACCGUGUAGAAGCCACCGAGAGAUCAGGUGUGAUGCUUCAAGAGCCGAGACAAAACCCCUUAAUUCGUGAUGUGGGACCAAAUUCUGAAAUGGUGGAAGGUAGCUAUGCAUAUCGAGAUGAUCAAGAGAAGCAAGUAUCGGCCAGCUCUGAUGCAUACGGUGCAGAGCCAUACCUUGCCAAAGAACCAAGACAGGAUCUUGCUGCACCUAACUUCUUCACAGCACCUCUGCCACCGAUCCCAAAGCUUCCUCCUCCACCACAAGACUUCAUGCAUCCAGCAUCUUCGAGAGCAAGUGGUCCUCGUCCCACCAGAGAUUUGCAGGAACCUUUCGGGGAAGCAGAAAGAGGUGGUGUUGAUGGAUCGCAUGCCCCAGCAAACUCUGAUUAUGAACACUUGUCUCAUGAGGUUCCAAACAAGGAGCCUUUCCAUCCACAUGGGGAUGGGGCCUCUCACUCUGCUCAUGCACCGCACCUUGCUCCUAAAAUCCCACCGAAUGGUCCAGUGGACUACAACCACCGACAUCCACCAAGAGUACCUCUGCAGCGCCCUCCAAGUGUACCCCAUCACCACAUUGGGUCUCCUCCUUCAGUAAGGGGUUACCAUGAAGCCUCAAGUCCUCCUCGACCUUUACCUGAAGAUCCAUACUUUGACCCAUACUAUGAACAACCACCACGUAGCCCCUCUCCCCCUCAUUACGACAUGCACCCGAUUUCACCUCAUGCACAAGAGCAUUAUACUGAAGAAAUCCCACCUCACUACCCAGAGCACAGGGUUCCUCCUCACUUGGAACACAGGCAUCCACCACCACACCAUGUUCGUCCACCUCACCCUGGGCACUAUCCAGCUCCUAGGCCCCUUCGUAGGCCACCACCGGUCUGUCAUGAGCCACCCUUUCCAAGGGGCAAGCGACCUGGCCCACCGUUUGGUGGACCUCCCAGAUUCAGGGGCCCCUUUUAUCCCCCUAAAAGACCCUUCUUGCCUCCGCAUUACUGAAGUGUGUCUUUGCUCAGGUGUUUAGUGCAUGUCACAGUGAGCAGGUAAAGACGUCCAAGUGCAGUUGGGUUAUCAGCAAGACAAAGAUUGCUGUGGACAGUGACACGAAGGGGAUGGUGUUGAACACCUUUGCAAGAUCACAGUAGAGAAGUGCAAAUUUAUUCAAGUAAUCAGGGGCAUGGAAUCAGAUCGCCAAAAACUCUUGAGCAAGAUGUGCUCUUUUCCAACAAGAAGUCAAGGAGCACUGGAGCAGAGAAAUGGAAAGAAUAUCUGGCAAGGAAUGCUGGGGGAAUGAGAUGGAUCUGAAGGCAGACAAAACAAGAGUUUUUUUUAUUUUUCUCCCUCUGUCCAUCCUCAAUGUAUGCAGAUCUUCUGGUGAGGACUUUCUCUGCCCAGCAACAGAGUGCUUGAGGGGACAUCCAAUGCCCUUGUAUGCCAUCCGCUUGCAAAUCAAGUAUUACAGUGAUAUAUGAAAGGGACAGCUGUUUCUAUGUGACAGCACCCAAUGGUUUUGCGGCUAAGCUCUGUGAGGAAAAUAUAGACGCUCCCUUAAACCGAGUAAGCAUCACGGUUUCCACACCCCGAGGGAGGACGGGAGAUGGACAGGAGGGGGACACCGGCUUUCGACGUCAAAAGCUACGGGUUAUACGGAGUGUCAACACUGUGAAUAUAGGCUACAGCAUUACCGUGCGCCUUCUUUACAGCCUCUGCAUUAAAACAGCUGUCACGGUUCAAACCUUUCCACCGGGACUCGUGUUUAACAUCGCGACUCUUCCCUCGCCGCUGAGCCGCUCUCCAGUGCUGAAACCCUGGGCGCAGCUGUCGCUCCGUCCCCUUAGGAAACUGU
This is an RNA transcript of Sinocyclocheilus rhinocerous, 3914 nucleotides long. It is a transcript of the gene named cugbp, Elav-like family member 3a, with no coding region annotated. The record is from RefSeq and is a predicted model, not a curated record. NCBI's taxonomy places the organism in Eukaryota, Metazoa, Chordata, Actinopteri, Cypriniformes, Cyprinidae. The transcript has 13 exons.